RNAcentral lists this ribosomal RNA (468 nucleotides) under uncultured bacterium. RNAcentral describes it as "partial 16S ribosomal RNA". It matches the Rfam family "Bacterial small subunit ribosomal RNA", at positions 28 to 507 of the family's 1533-position model. The record is from RNAcentral.
GACGAACGCUGGCGGCGUGCUUAACACAUGCAAGUCGAACGGAAAGGCCCUGCUUUUGUGGGGUGCUCGAGUGGCGAACGGGUGAGUAACACGUGAGUAACCUGCCCUUGACUUUGGGAUAACUUCAGGAAACUGGGGCUAAUACCGGAUAGGAGCUCCUGCUGCAUGGUGGGGGUUGGAAAGUUUCGGCGGUUGGGGAUGGACUCGCGGCUUAUCAGCUUGUUGGUGGGGUAGUGGCUUACCAAGGCUUUGACGGGUAGCCGGCCUGAGAGGGUGACCGGCCACAGUGGGACUGAGAUACGGCCCAGACGCCUACGGGGGGCAGCAGUGGGGGAUAGUGCACGAUGGGCGGAAGCCGUAUGCAGCAACGCCGCGUGCUGGAUGACGGCCUUCGGGUUGUAAACCGCGUGCGCCUGUGACGAAGCGUGAGUGACGGUAAUGGGUAAAGAAGCACCGGCUAACUACGUG